AUUUAAAUAGCUUAUAUUUAGAGCAUAACAUUGAAGUUGUUAGGGAGGUAGAUUACCUUUAAAUA
This 65-nucleotide transfer RNA is filed under the name Neoneuromus similis. RNAcentral describes it as "tRNA-Phe". The record is from RNAcentral. Lineage: Eukaryota; Metazoa; Arthropoda; Insecta; Megaloptera; Corydalidae.